Molecule: ribosomal RNA, 495 nt
Filed under: uncultured bacterium
Lineage: Bacteria
Description: partial 16S ribosomal RNA
Rfam family: Bacterial small subunit ribosomal RNA
Source: RNAcentral
GACGAACGCUGGCGGCGUGCCUAAUACAUGCAAGUAGAACGCUGAAGGAGGAGCUUGCUUCUCUGGAUGAGUUGCGAACGGGUGAGUAACGCGUAGGUAACCUGCCUGGUAGCGGGGGAUAACUAUUGGAAACGAUAGCUAAUACCGCAUAAUAGUAGAUGUUGCAUGACAUUUGCCUAAAAGGUGCAAUUGCAUCACUACCAGAUGGACCUGCGUUGUAUUAGCUAGUUGGUGGGGUAACGGCUCACCAAGGCGACGAUACAUAGCCGACCUGAGAGGGUGAUCGGCCACACUGGGACUGAGAAACGGCCCAGACUCCUACGGGAGGCAGCAGUAGGGAAUCUUCGGCAAUGGACGGAAGUCUGACCGAGCAACGCCGCGUGAGUGAAGAAGGUUUUCGGAUCGUAAAGCUCUGUUGUAAGAGAAGAACGAGUGUGAGAGUGGAAAGUUCACACUGUGACGGUAUCUUACCAGAAAGGGACGGCUAACUACGUG